AACCCAAAUUAAUUAUUACUCGGCGUAAAACGUGUAUACAGAUCUUAUCCAAAUAGAAUUAAAAAUCAAUUAAUAUGUGAAAAUUCAUUAUUGAAACUAAGAUCAAUAACGAAAGUAAUUCUAGAGCCCUUAGUACACGAUAGCUAAGACCCAAACUGGGAUUAGAUACCCCACUAUGCUUAGCCUUAAACCUUAAUAAUUUUUUUCAACAAAAUUAUUUGCCUGAGAACUACUGGCCACAGCUUAAAACUCAAAGGACUUGGCGGUACUCUAUAUCCGUCUAGAGGAGCCUGUUCUAUAAUCGAUAAACCCCGCUACACCUCACCAUUUCUUGCUAAUC
RNAcentral lists this ribosomal RNA (340 nucleotides) under Rhipidomys nitela (splendid climbing mouse). Its description in RNAcentral is "partial 12S ribosomal RNA". It matches the Rfam family "Bacterial small subunit ribosomal RNA", at positions 536 to 989 of the family's 1533-position model. Lineage: Eukaryota; Metazoa; Chordata; Mammalia; Rodentia; Cricetidae. The record is from RNAcentral.